RNAcentral lists this ribosomal RNA (391 nucleotides) under uncultured bacterium. RNAcentral's name for it is "bacterial SSU rRNA". It matches the Rfam family "Bacterial small subunit ribosomal RNA", at positions 28 to 418 of the family's 1533-position model. The record is from RNAcentral.
GACGAACGCUGGCGGCGUGCUUAACACAUGCAAGUCGAGCGGUAAGGCCCUUUCGGGGGUACGACGAGCGGCGAACGGGUGAGUAACACGUGGGUGACCUGCCCUCAGCUCUGGGAUAAGCCUGGGAAACCGGGGUCUAAUACCGGAUAUGACUCCAUGACGCAUGUUGUGGGGUGGAAAGCCUUGUGCGGCUGAGGAUGGGCCCGCGGCCUAUCAGCUUGUUGGUGGGGUGAUGGCCUACCAAGGCGACGACGGGUAGCCGGCCUGAGAGGGCGACCGGCCACACUGGGACUGAGACACGGCCCAGACUCCUACGGGAGGCAGCAGUGGGGAAUCUUGCGCAAUGGGCGAAAGCCUGACGCAGCGACGCCGCGUGAGGGAUGACGGCCUG